Long non-coding RNA from Amphiprion ocellaris (clown anemonefish), 1392 nucleotides. Lineage: Eukaryota; Metazoa; Chordata; Actinopteri; Pomacentridae. The record is from Ensembl.
AUUUUUGUGUGUAUGCAUACCGUUAACAUAUCAGAGUUCUGAGUGAAUUUUUCUUAAGAUAGGCAAAGGCCAUGUAUUGAUUACAUACAGGCUAGUAAUUGUUUAUUAAAAACUAAAAAACGGACUUCCGGUAUGACGGAGACGUGAGUAACAGCAUAAUUUGUAGGCUCCCAGGUGGUCUUAUUCCCCCUGAAGAAUUAUACAACUUUUUGAUAAACUAGCCGUGGAACGUAGCAUGAAAGGGGGGAAUAAACAGAAAGCAAAAGGAAAAUCUCGGCAAAACGUGGAGACGAGUGAUUUUUCAUCGAGUGACAGUGUGAAAUUAGGUUGCGGGGCUAACGAAGCUAGUGUGCACACGGACAUGGAGGCUAUCCAAGCUAACAUCAUCGCUGAAAUACCGGCGGGCCGAGUGGAUGUGAAAGAACUGACUGAAAACAUUGGACAACUGAAAAGUGAACUCGGCGAUUUCAGAGGAGAGGUUAGUCUGAAACUAAAUACUAUUGCCACUGACCUAAAAAACAUAACGGAUCGAGUGGAACGGGGGAGCACCGAAACUAAAGAGUUGCUGAUCCACGCCUUGGAACAACAAGACUCUUUACAAGCGAAAUUGACGGACCUGGAGGCACGUUCGCGUAGAAAUAAUAUACGUAUCCACGGCAUUCCUGAAGACGCCGAGGGUGAAAAUGUCCAGGACUUUAUCACAAACUUUUGAAAGCUGAGCUGCACCUUCCUGACGCCUCUCUCGGCAUCCAACGCUGCUACCGGUCCCUCGGAGCCAAACCCCCCGCGGGCUCUAGUCCAAUUUCGAUCCUUAUCUAUUUCUUGGAGUAUAAAACCAAAGAGAUGAUACUCCCAAUGCUUGGAAAAAAAGACAAAUCUUUUACGACGGCAAACGAGUGUUUUUCGAGCAAGACUAUCCAACCGAAAUAAUAAUGAAAAGAAAGGCGUACUCUACCAUCGGAAAAACAUUAAAAGAAAAGACUCUCCGUUUCCAGACUCUCCACCCAGCCCGACUCAGAGUUCACUUCAAAACCGGCCCCGUUGUUUACAACAGCGCAUCAGAGGCAACAGCUGACUUGAUAAAAAGAGGACUACUCCCAGAUACCACCGGUGAAUGUCUCCCUACUGAUGAUGCACCCAUGACGAGAGCCAGUCAGCCGCCCUGGGAAACUGCAGGUGCAGCUUCACGCCGACACCGGGACAGGAGGCUGAGAGACAUCCGGGAAAAACUGAAAGGAUUUCGGCACAACACUAGCACUUCGUAAGAACUUUCCCAUGUUAUAAAUGAAUGAGGGAUCACUCAAAUAGCAUAAGUAAGUAAAGUGUGAAACACAAAGGUAAAGCCAUAUUUCCUGUUAGGAUUGUAUAAUGAUUAAAACUAACCACCUUGGG